CAGCCGCCGCGGGAAUACGGAGGAUCCAAGCGUUAUCCGGAAUCAUUGGGUUUAAAGGGUCCGUAGGCGGUCUUGUAAGUCAGUGGUGAAAGCCCAUCGCUCAACGGUGGAACGGCCAUUGAUACUGCAGGACUUGAAUUAUUGGGAAGUAACUAGAAUAUGUAGUGUAGCGGUGAAAUGCUUAGAGAUUACAUGGAAUACCAAUUGCGAAGGCAGGUUACUACCAAUUGAUUGACGCUGAUGGACGAAAGCGUUGGUAGCGAACAGGAUUAGAUACCCCCGUAGUCCCUGUCUCUUAUAC
Molecule: ribosomal RNA, 301 nt
Filed under: uncultured bacterium
Lineage: Bacteria
Description: partial 16S ribosomal RNA
Rfam family: Bacterial small subunit ribosomal RNA
Source: RNAcentral